GAUGAACGCUGGCGGCGUGCCUAAUACAUGCAAGUCGAGCGAACAGACGAGGAGCUUGCUCCUCUGACGUUAGCGGCGGACGGGUGAGUAACACGUGGAUAACCUACCUAUAAGACUGGGAUAACUUCGGGAAACCGGAGCUAAUACCGGAUAAUAUAUUGCACCGCAUGGUUCAAUAGUGAAAGACGGUUUUGCUGUCACUUAUAGAUGGAUCCGCGCCGCAUUAGCUAGUUGGUAAGGUAACGGCUUACCAAGGCGACGAUGCGUAGCCGACCUGAGAGGGUGAUCGGCCACACUGGAACUGAGACACGGUCCAGACUCCUACGGGAGGCAGCAGUAGGGAAUCUUCCGCAAUGGGCGAAAGCCUGACGGAGCAACGCCGCGUGAGUGAUGAAGGUCUUCGGAUCGUAAAACUCUGUUAUUAGGGAAGAACAAAUGUGUAAGUAACUAUGCACGUCUUGACGGUACCUAAUCAGAAAGCCACGGCUAACUACGUG
RNAcentral lists this ribosomal RNA (497 nucleotides) under uncultured bacterium. Its description in RNAcentral is "partial 16S ribosomal RNA". It matches the Rfam family "Bacterial small subunit ribosomal RNA", at positions 28 to 507 of the family's 1533-position model. The record is from RNAcentral.